This 492-nucleotide ribosomal RNA is filed under the name uncultured bacterium. RNAcentral's name for it is "partial 16S ribosomal RNA". It matches the Rfam family "Bacterial small subunit ribosomal RNA", at positions 29 to 507 of the family's 1533-position model. The record is from RNAcentral.
AGUGAACGCUGGCGGUAGGCCUAACACAUGCAAGUCGAACGGCAGCACAGUAAGAGCUUGCUCUUACGGGUGGCGAGUGGCGGACGGGUGAGGAAUACAUCGGAAUCUACUUUUUCGUGGGGGAUAACGUAGGGAAACUUACGCUAAUACCGCAUACGACCUACGGGUGAAAGCAGGGGAUCUUCGGACCUUGCGCGAUUGAAUGAGCCGAUGUCGGAUUAGCUAGUUGGCGGGGUAAAGGCCCACCAAGGCGACGAUCCGUAGCUGGUCUGAGAGGAUGAUCAGCCACACUGGAACUGAGACACGGUCCAGACUCCUACGGGAGGCAGCAGUGGGGAAUAUUGGACAAUGGGCGCAAGCCUGAUCCAGCCAUACCGCGUGGGUGUAGAAGGCCUUCGGGUUGUAAAGCCCUUUUGUUGGGAAAGAAAAGCAGCAGGUUAAUACCCCGCUGUUCUGACGGUACCCAAAGAAUAAGCACCGGCUAACUUCGUG